RNAcentral lists this ribosomal RNA (252 nucleotides) under uncultured bacterium. RNAcentral's name for it is "partial 16S ribosomal RNA". It matches the Rfam family "Bacterial small subunit ribosomal RNA", at positions 525 to 776 of the family's 1533-position model. The record is from RNAcentral.
ACGGAGGGUGCAAGCGUUAAUCGGAAUUACUGGGCGUAAAGCGAGUGUAGGCGGCAACGUAAGUCGGAUGUGAAAUCCCCGGGCUCAACCUGGGAAUGGCAUUCGAAACUGCGUAGCUAGAGUUUGACAGAGGAAUGUGGAAUUCCGGGUGUAGCGGUGAAAUGCGUAGAUAUCCGGAGGAACACCAGUGGCGAAGGCGGCAUUCUGGGUCAAAACUGACGCUGAGGCUCGAAAGCGUGGGGAGCAAACAGG